CAGCCGCCGCGGUAAUACAGAGGGUGCGAGCGUUAGUCGGAUUUACUGGGCGUAAAGCGUGCGUAGGCGGCUUCUUAAGUCGGAUGUGAAAUCCCUGAGCUUAACUUAGGAAUUGCAUUCGAUACUGGGAAGCUAGAGUAUGGGAGAGGAUGGUAGAAUUCCAGGUGUAGCGGUGAAAUGCGUAGAGAUCUGGAGGAAUACCGAUGGCGAAGGCAGCCAUCUGGCCUAAUACUGACGCUGAGGUACGAAAGCAUGGGGAGCAAACAGGAUUAGAUACCCCAGUAGUCCCUGUCUCUUAUCA
RNAcentral lists this ribosomal RNA (301 nucleotides) under uncultured bacterium. RNAcentral's name for it is "partial 16S ribosomal RNA". It matches the Rfam family "Bacterial small subunit ribosomal RNA", at positions 509 to 809 of the family's 1533-position model. The record is from RNAcentral.